UAAUUUAUAUUUUAAUUAAGAUUAUUAGAAAUUUAUUUUUUAGUUAUGAUUGGGGUGAUUUUUAAAGAUUAUUAAUCUUUAAAAUUUUUUAAUAAAAAAGUUCCAUGUAGUAGUGAUUUUUUGAUAAAAAUACUCUAGGGAUAACAGCGUUAUUAUUUUGGAUAGUUCAUAUAGAUAAAAUAGUUUGCGACCUCGAUGUUGGAUUAGGAUUCUUUUAUGAUGAAGAAGUUAUAAGGGAGAAGUUUGCUCAACUUUUAAAGUCCUACUUGAUCUGAGUUCAGCCCGGG
RNAcentral lists this ribosomal RNA (287 nucleotides) under Ornithodoros coriaceus. RNAcentral's name for it is "partial 16S ribosomal RNA". The stretch from base 140 to 287 matches the Rfam family "Bacterial large subunit ribosomal RNA", at positions 2473 to 2620 of the family's 2925-position model. The record is from RNAcentral. Lineage: Eukaryota; Metazoa; Arthropoda; Arachnida; Ixodida; Argasidae.